This 445-nucleotide ribosomal RNA is filed under the name uncultured bacterium. Its description in RNAcentral is "partial 16S ribosomal RNA". It matches the Rfam family "Bacterial small subunit ribosomal RNA", at positions 354 to 796 of the family's 1533-position model. The record is from RNAcentral.
GUGAGGAAUAUUGCGCAAUGGAGGCAACUCUGACGCAGCCAUGCCGCGUGCAGGAAGAAGGCGCUACGCGUUGUAAACUGCUUUUAACCGGGAAGAAACCCCAGGACGUGUCCUGGGUUGACGGUACCGGAGGAAUAAGCACCGGCUAACUUCGUGCCAGCAGCCGCGGUAAUACGAAGGGUGCAAGCGUUAUCCGGAUUCAUUGGGUUUAAAGGGUGCGUAGGCGGAUCGUUAAGUCAGUGGUGAAAUCCUGCAGCUUAACUGUAGACUUGCCAUUGAUACUGGCGCUCUUGAGUGCGCUUGAAGUGGGCGGAAUGUGCCGUGUAGCGGUGAAAUGCUUAGAUAUGGCACAGAACACCAAUUGCGAAGGCAGCUCACUAAGGCGAUACUGACGCUGAGGCACGAAAGCGUGGGGAUCGAACAGGAUUAGAAACCCCGGUAGUCC